Molecule: long non-coding RNA, 1982 nt
Filed under: Nicotiana benthamiana
Lineage: Eukaryota; Viridiplantae; Streptophyta; Magnoliopsida; Solanales; Solanaceae
Description: long non-coding RNA (NBEN_LNC009742)
Source: RNAcentral
UAUUUUUGGUGAACACUUUAGCUGCCUACUCAUCUAGUACUUUUAAUAGCAACAUCCUCUCCUUUUAAAAAUGGAUGAUGAAUUCUUGCUACAAUUUAGAUUCUCCUUGAGCGAUUCUGAAUAUGUCAACUUUCCUAGAUUGGGCUUUCCUCACCUUGUCAUGAGCUUUACUAAAGAAAUCUACAAGAAUUUUAAAAGAAUCAAUUGAGUGCUUAGGUAAAAGUGAUUACCCUAUUAGAGCACCCUUUGGUAGGGUUUCACUGAAUUUCUUUAGCAGGACAGAUUUGAUCUCAUGCGUUGCAAGAUCAUUCCCCCUUAACAGUCAUAGUGUAAGCUGUUAAAGUACUCUUGUAGAUCCAAAGUUCCGUCGUACUUUGAAAUAUCGAGCAUCUUGGAUAUCCUUAGGAUUAAUUCUGGGGCCGUACGUUGUUUGCAUGCCUACUACAUAUAUUUUUUGAAUACGACCCCUUUAAUACCGGUGCUACUCCUGGGAUUUGAUCCAUCUAGGCAAGGAAUUCUUUAGUACUUUGAUCCAUAUUAUCAUUUAUUUCCCCCAUAAAUCUCAUGAGUUCAGUUUUAAAAGGAUCAGUAGCAUUGUCGGUUUCAGAUCCACUACAUGCACCACUUGCUCCAUUUUUAUUUAAUCAGAAUUCCUCCUUCGAAGAAAUGUUUCCAGUUCUUUGCAUUGUUUUAUUUGUAGGAACACCGUGAGGGACUCAAACUCAUCCAUCGGAGUUAUUGGAAGCAGCCGUAAGUCCUACUUCAACUCAAUCAUUGCUCGAUCUUGUCUUGAGAGAUGCUUCAUAAUUUCCCUUUGUUGCACUCUCAAAACUUUGACUGUUUCAAAAACACGUUUAUCAUCCAUUUCAUCAGAAGUUGGACUUCUCACACGCCAAGAAUUUUGUUCUUCGGAACCAGAGUUGUUUCAUCUCCUUUGUUGUGAGUUUAACUAGUUGAAUCAUUAUACUGGAACACAUCCUCACGCUUGUUGUUUUUUUCUACAUUGAAAGCAUAGUUCCCAUUAUUAGCUGCCAUAUCUGAUUUUUCUUUGAGUUAAAAAGUAUCAAAAUACGUUAGUAACAGAUAAAUGGAUCAAAGUAAUAACCCAAUUGUCUAUGCUCCAAGGUGAACACCAAAUUAUUUACUCGUAAAACUAUAUAGUUAAAUUUGUAAUGUGGUUCAUAAACAUGUGAAUUAUUUUUAUCAAAGAAUAUAAAAUAGCUAAGAAUACAAAUAAAUUAGUUAAACGAACUUGAAGAAAGUACAAGCCUCACCGUUGGCUCAACUUCUUUGGUAGCAAUAAUAAUAGCAAUAUGAAGAAUAAAAAGAGAGAAAGUUGUUUAAUAGAAUAAAAGAAGAUUUUGGCUUUUUUGUACAGAUGAUUUAUUGUUCACAAUAAAAACAAAUCUCCUAUAUAUAGCUCAAUUCAAGGAGACAAGAUCCCCAAAUCAAGCUCUUCUUUAAUAUGAAUAUAACCCCCCUUUAAUGGAUGUGCAACGAUUGUGCAUUAAUGCGCAAAUUCUUUAUUAUGUCUGCUUAUUGAAUAUUGUCUUUUUCAAACGAUAUCUUCCUUUUGAAUCUUUGCCCUCGGUUUAAACGCCUUCGGAAAUUAUUUAGUACGAGUCACAUGUUCGUAAGUGGUCAGCUAUUUGUUGGCUCUUAUCUUACUUAUCUUUACUUCGACGUGUUAACUAUCGAGCAUCCACCUGUUGUUCAUCAAUUCUACUCUAUACAUAAUCUAUGAAUAAUUUGUGCUUCAAUGUCAUCACUUACACUAUCAUCCAUUAAAUAAACAUUCUUUUUUAUCCUUUUUUUCUUUUGGGAGCAACACACGAAAAGAGUGUCUUUUUUUAAUAGUUCAAAGCAGUAGAAAAGGACUUGAAUGGGUGACUUGGUUCGUUGGCAAUAGAGUAAAUAAUACAAUAACAACAACAACUACCCAGUAUAUUCCCACCAGGUGGGGUCUGGGGAGGGUAAUAUGU